CCUAUAUUUUUUAAUAUAAUUUCCAUAUAAGCUGUCCUUAAACUAAAUUAUUGUAAAAUUUGAGCGAGUUCUGUAAUAAAUUUCCUUUUUUUAUUUCGAUAUUAACUUUAUUUCUCCUAUUACUUCAACAGAAAAAAAACACCUUUACAAAAAUGUAUGUUUCUUUCGAAGGCAGAUUGUGAGCGAAAAUGAACGGUGACCCCACUUUUUUAUUUAAUUUUUCUAUUAACUAUAAGAUAAAGUUCAUUUAUAGAAAAAUAUAGAGAAAUCCUAUAUAAAUGAUUUAGACCCGCGAACCCCCUUAAUUGUUUUAUAAUGAACCAGAAUUUUUUUUAGCAAAGGUCAAAAUCUAGAACAUCAUAUUGACCUUUGACCUUGACCUCAAUUUUGAGGUCAUAGGUCAGUGAUCUCAAAUCAAAAGACCCCAGGUCAAUCACUUGUAUGGUUGUGGAGAAAUACUGAUUUCAAAUACAAAAGGGAGAAAACUCCUAUAAGGGUUAACCAAAACUCUUCGACUUAAUAGGUUGACGUUGCGCCUUUUUGUAAACAGUUAUUUGGCAAAC
RNAcentral lists this long non-coding RNA (563 nucleotides) under Mytilus galloprovincialis (Mediterranean mussel). The record is from RNAcentral. Lineage: Eukaryota; Metazoa; Mollusca; Bivalvia; Mytilida; Mytilidae.